GCCCUCGUAGCGCAGUAGGCAGCGCGUCAGUCCUCAAUCACUCCAGCGAGUAAUCUGAAGGUCGGAGUUCGAUCCCCCGGGCAGCCA
Molecule: non-coding RNA, 87 nt
Organism: Araneus ventricosus
Lineage: Eukaryota; Metazoa; Arthropoda; Arachnida; Araneae; Araneidae
Source: the annotation of a GenBank genome assembly